UACGGAGGGGGCGAGCGUUGUUCGGAAUCACUGGGUGUAAAGGGUGCGUAGGCGGUCCGAUAAGUCUGAUGUGAAAGCCCACGGCUCAACCGUGGAGGGUCAUUGGAAACUGGGGGACUUGAGUGCAGGAGAGAAGAGUGGAAUUCCACGUGUAGCGGUGAAAUGCGUAGAGAUGUGGAGGAACACCAGUGGCGAAAGCGGCUUCCUGGACCAGUACCGACGUUCAGGCACGAAAGCGUGGGGAGCAAACAGG
Molecule: ribosomal RNA, 253 nt
Filed under: uncultured bacterium
Lineage: Bacteria
Description: partial 16S ribosomal RNA
Rfam family: Bacterial small subunit ribosomal RNA
Source: RNAcentral